GACGAACGCUGGCGGCGUGCUUAACACAUGCAAGUAGAACGCACAGUUUAUACCGUAGCUUGCUACACCAUAGACUGUGAGUUGCGAACGGGUGAGUAACCCGUAGGUAACCUGUCUGGUAGCGGGGGAUAACUAUUGGAAACGAUAGCUAAUACCGCAUAAUAUUGAUUAUUGCAUGAUAAUUAAUUGAAAGGUGCAAUUGCACCACUGCCAGAUAGACUUGCGUUGUAUUAGCUAGUAGGUGAGGUUAUGGCCCACCUAGGUGAAGAUACAUAGGCGACCGCGGAGGGUGAUCGGCCCACCUAGGAGGGAGACAGGGACCAGAAGCCUUGGGGAGGGAGCAGUAGGGAAUCGUCGGCAAUGGACGAAAGUCUUAACGAGUCACGCCGAGUGAGAGGAGAAGGUUGUCGGGUCGGUAAGCUCUGUUGUAAGGGAAGAAAGGGUGUGAGAGUGGAAAGUUCAGACUGUGACGGUAACUUACCAAGAAGGGCCGGCUAACUACGUG
Molecule: ribosomal RNA, 505 nt
Filed under: uncultured bacterium
Lineage: Bacteria
Description: partial 16S ribosomal RNA
Rfam family: Bacterial small subunit ribosomal RNA
Source: RNAcentral